This is a long non-coding RNA of Gossypium raimondii (Peruvian cotton), 449 nucleotides long. RefSeq lists it as uncharacterized. The transcript is spliced from 3 exons. The record is from RefSeq and is a predicted model, not a curated record. Lineage: Eukaryota; Viridiplantae; Streptophyta; Magnoliopsida; Malvales; Malvaceae.
UUUUAUUUCUUCUUCAUCUUCAUGACCGAAACUAAACAAAAGAAAAAGAAAGAAGAACCUAGCUACAUUCGGCCAUUUUAAAUUUUAAUUAAGAUCAAGAACCAAAGAAAUCGGAGCUAGAUCGGGGAAAAACCAAAAUCGUCGACUAAUUAUCCGAUUUCAAUUUUUCACUGUCCGAGAUUUUGGAGACGCAUUACGAGCUCGGGGAUCAUCAGCAUAAUCUAUCACACUAUCGACCGUCUUUGGUAUUUUAUAUAUUUUGAACUCGAACCUAUGACAUGUAUAGUCUAGUUAAUAUGUUUAAAUUUUUGGGAUAUGUGAAUAUGAGCCAUGCGAAAAUGGCUUAUCUCUUUUCGUUUUGAAUUUGGUAUUAACGAAUAUGUUUUAAUGGUCUAUUUCCUAUGCUUAAAUUCGGUUUAGUUAAAAAUGGCUUGAUCAUUAUGUUUAAA